Molecule: ribosomal RNA, 492 nt
Filed under: uncultured bacterium
Lineage: Bacteria
Description: partial 16S ribosomal RNA
Rfam family: Bacterial small subunit ribosomal RNA
Source: RNAcentral
AGUGAACGCUGGCGGUAGGCCUAACACAUGCAAGUCGAACGGCAGCACAGUAAGAGCUUGCUCUUACGGGUGGCGAGUGGCGGACGGGUGAGGAAUACAUCGGAAUCUACUUUUUCGUGGGGGAUAACGUAGGGAAACUUACGCUAAUACCGCAUACGACCUACGGGUGAAAGCAGGGGAUCUUCGGACCUUGCGCGAUUGAAUGAGCCGAUGUCGGAUUAGCUAGUUGGCGGGGUAAAGGCCCACCAAGGCGACGAUCCGUAGCUGGUCUGAGAGGAUGAUCAGCCACACGGGAACUGAGACACGGUCCAGACUCCUACGGGAGGCAGCAGUGGGGAAUAUUGGACAAUGGGCGCAAGCCUGAUCCAGCCAUACCGAGUGGGUGAAGAAGGCCUUCGGGUUGUAAAGCCCUUUUGUUGGGAAAGAAAAGCAGCAGGUUAAUACCCCGCUGUUCUGACGGUACCCAAAGAAUAAGCACCGGCUAACUUCGUG